RNAcentral lists this long non-coding RNA (701 nucleotides) under Homo sapiens (human). Its description in RNAcentral is "HSALNT0321934". Lineage: Eukaryota; Metazoa; Chordata; Mammalia; Primates; Hominidae. The record is from RNAcentral.
UACUUUUGUAUUUGACCACGUAAGACAAUUGGAUGGGCACCUAAUAUAUUUCCUGGUACACUCCUAUUGUGGUUGGUCUUCUUUAUCUGUAUGUCUAUCUUGUUCAGUCUGCGCUUCAGCUUUGCAGGAAAAUAGAAAUUUUUUUUUCUGUGCUUGUUUAUGCUAACCAUGGUGCCUACAACUGCAUCUGCUGCCUUUACACGGGACUGCAAACCUGUUUUUUUCAACCUUCUGUUUUAUGGGUGUGCACACCCAUAAAUCUCCUGUGGCUGGGUUAAGGGAACAUACAAGCAGCUCUUCAGCAUUAAGAAUGUGAUGGGAGAGAUUCAGGUAGAUUUGAACUGCCAUCAUCAAUCAAGACCAAGGAGAAGGCUGCUUUCCAGGAUGUACACAUGGCCUCUGUUUGCUGUUGCUGUUUUGCUUCUUUUAAGAGGUGAACCAAUAUAUGUAUGUCUGUUUCUACUGUCACUUGCAGCUCAACAGAACCCUGUAAUAUACAUGAACAAGUUUCUGGAAGUUAAGAGCAGGAAAUUCCACUGAAACAAAAUAGAACAUACCUUUAUGUUCUAUUGAGAGAGUGUGGAAGAAGAAAAUUCUGUAUUGGUUUUGACUAACAACAAGCUGCCGGAAGAUCUCUUUUUCUCCUACAGGUUAAUAAGGAGAAAAACUGAAGGGAGAAAAAAAUACAAUAACAGCGGGGG